RNAcentral lists this transfer RNA (82 nucleotides) under Scytolyngbya sp. HA4215-MV1. RNAcentral describes it as "tRNA-Leu". It matches the Rfam family "tRNA". Rfam says of the family: Transfer RNA (tRNA) molecules are approximately 80 nucleotides in length. Their secondary structure includes four short double-helical elements and three loops (D, anti-codon, and T loops). Further hydrogen bonds mediate the characteristic L-shaped molecular structure. tRNAs have two regions of fundamental functional importance: the anti-codon, which is responsible for specific mRNA codon recognition, and the 3' end, to which the tRNAs corresponding amino acid is attached (by aminoacyl-tRNA synthetases). tRNAs cope with the degeneracy of the genetic code in two manners: having more than one tRNA (with a specific anti-codon) for a particular amino acid; and 'wobble' base-pairing, i.e. permitting non-standard base-pairing at the 3rd anti-codon position. RNAcentral also lists the same sequence under 7 other names. The record is from RNAcentral. Lineage: Bacteria; Bacillati; Cyanobacteriota; Cyanophyceae; Leptolyngbyales; Leptolyngbyaceae.
GGGCGGAUGGCGGAAUUGGUAGACGCACCGCACUCAAAAUGCGGCGGAGAAAUCCUUGCGAGUUCGAGUCUCGCUCUGCCCA